RNAcentral lists this transfer RNA (74 nucleotides) under Winogradskyella sp. RNAcentral's name for it is "tRNA-Asp". It matches the Rfam family "tRNA". Rfam says of the family: Transfer RNA (tRNA) molecules are approximately 80 nucleotides in length. Lineage: Bacteria; Pseudomonadati; Bacteroidota; Flavobacteriia; Flavobacteriales; Flavobacteriaceae. The record is from RNAcentral.
GGUCCUGUAGCUCAGUUGGUUAGAGUGCCGCCCUGUCACGGCGGAGGCCGAGGGUUCAAGUCCCUUCAGGAUCG